Molecule: ribosomal RNA, 513 nt
Filed under: bacterium enrichment culture clone ALO1_GLFRUDD03GPKV5
Lineage: Bacteria
Description: bacterial SSU rRNA
Rfam family: Bacterial small subunit ribosomal RNA
Source: RNAcentral
GAGUUUGAUCUUGGCUCAGAUUGAACGCUGGCGGCAGGCCUAACACAUGCAAGUCGAGCGGAUGACGGGAGCUUGCUCCUUGAUUCAGCGGCGGACGGGUGAGUAAUGCCUGGGAAUCUGCCUGGUAGUGGGGGACAACGUUUCGAAAGGAACGCUAAUACCGCAUACGUCCUACGGGAGAAAGCAGGGGACCUUCGGGCCUUGCGCUAUCAGAUGAGCCUAGGUCGGAUUAGCUAGUUGGUGGGGUAAUGGCUCACCAAGGCGACGAUCCGUAACUGGUCUGAGAGGAUGAUCAGUCACACUGGAACUGAGACACGGUCCAGACUCCUACGGGAGGCAGCAGUGGGGAAUAUUGGACAAUGGGCGAAAGCCUGAUCCAGCCAUGUCGCGUGUGUGAAGAAGGUCUUCGGAUUGUAAAGCACUUUAAGUUGGGAGGAAGGGCAGUAAGUUAAUACCUUGCUGUUUUGACGUUACCGACAGAAUAAGCACCGGCUAACUCUGUGCCAGCCGCCG